This 662-nucleotide long non-coding RNA is filed under the name Manacus vitellinus (golden-collared manakin). Its description in RNAcentral is "lncRNA (ENSMVIG00005010700.1)". Lineage: Eukaryota; Metazoa; Chordata; Aves; Passeriformes; Pipridae. The record is from RNAcentral.
AGAAGGGGUGGACCCGCCACCUGUCCCGGAAUAUGGCAUGAGGGGAGAUCUGCUCCUGACCUUUGUUUUUAUCUCUGCAUCUCACCCCUGAAGCUAACAUAAAGUGCAACAGAAGCCAGAUCUACUUGAACAAGCCCACACAGAAGUCAGAAGGCUUCCCUGCAGAGUUGACCACGGCUCACACAGACUUCCCUCAGGAAAGGAAACCAAGGAGAUCCCCUUUCAUUUACAGUUUCUCAAGAACCAGAAGAUUGACCGUAAAUGAACACCAGGCUUAUAUGAGUACAAAGAAGGAGGCAAGAGAAAAUAAGAAUGACAAUGAAAAUGCCUCAAAGACACUAGUGGGAGCCCAUCACUGCUUCUCUGGGAGACCUCCACAGCUUACUAGUGCAAAAAGGAAAGCAGCCAAUGAUCUUGGAUGUCCCAUCUGAGACAUCUGACUUCCAGAAGAGAAUGUCAGGAAUUUCCAAAGAAUCAAACCCCCAUACCCAGCAUAUGUUUUGUACUGACACCGGAAACAAAUGGUCACUUGGAAGGAGGCUUCUGUUUUCUCAACACUCCUAAAUAACUCUGAAUGUUCUGAUGAGGAAGUGAGGUGUUCACCAGAAAACUGGAAACUAUUCAGAAAUGCCAGGCACCAGAAAAGAACAUUAAAAAAAGCC